CACCGCGGUUAUACGAGAGGCUCAAGUUGACAGACAACGGCGUAAAGCGUGGUUAAGAAAAACAUACAACUAAAGCGGAACCUCCUCCUAGCUGUUAUACGCUUCCGAGGAAGUGAACCCCAACUACGAAAGUGGCUUUAUCUAACCUGAACCCACGAAAGCUAAGAAA
Molecule: ribosomal RNA, 169 nt
Filed under: Caranx papuensis
Lineage: Eukaryota; Metazoa; Chordata; Actinopteri; Carangiformes; Carangidae
Description: partial 12S ribosomal RNA
Source: RNAcentral